Monodelphis domestica (gray short-tailed opossum) is the source of this 2091-nucleotide non-coding RNA. The record is from RefSeq and is a predicted model, not a curated record. NCBI's taxonomy places the organism in Eukaryota, Metazoa, Chordata, Mammalia, Didelphimorphia, Didelphidae.
UUUCCACUUCAUUCUUCCCACCCUGAUCUGGCCUCUGCAUAUGCGAUUGAGGUAUAUUUAGUGGCCUGGAAGAGGGAAACGUUGCCUCCUAGGGAAGCUGCUGGCUCUUCCCCGCUUUAGCAACAACAAUCUUCCUCGAGGACUUGCAGUUUGCCGGGAAAUCGUAGCCUUCCCUCUCCGGACCCCCCAGCAUGUCUGGAUGAUGAAAACUUCUCGAGGAAGCUUCCCCUGUUCCAUGUAGAGCGUCGGUGCUGUAAAGGAGCCAAACAAAUAAACCCACUUUCUUUCCAGGCACCACAGCACAACGGAGGGAAGGGAAGCGUGUGCGUGUGCCCCAGACUUGGAGAAUGCCAAUGCCUCAAGCGGCAGCAUUUCUUUCACCAGCUCCCAGCAAGUGGCCAUUUAGCCUUAAUUGCUCCUCACAGCAUAGUCCAAUUAAGAACGGGCAUCAGCAGGGCCGGAACUAUUUGUUAAUCCAUAAAAGGUAGGAGAGACAGCGCUUGUUUUGCUUGUGCUUUCUAUUCGUGUGUUUGGGUGAAAGUCUAAACAGCUGGAACCUUCCGCAAGAAUUGGGGCAGGGCCAGACCAACAUAAAAAUUAAUGUUCUAUCAAACCAAAGGAAUAAAUCACGCAUGGACAAUACCAUCUGAACCCUGAUGUCUUAAUGCUGGAAAUUGAAAAGGAAUAUUUCCCUUUGUGAACGAGAAAGUUGGAGAAAACCUGCAACAGAGCCAAAGGAGUAAGAUUUGCAAAAACUGUCAAUCAAGAAGCAUUCUGAAAUGGAAUGGUGAUCUGGGGGGAAACUAUUGAUAGGAACAGCCAAACUGUGAGAAGUGGUCUCUUGCUCUUGAGACAGGAAGGAGUAAGGACUAAAAAUAUCCUUCUCUUACUGAUUUCUUCCUACUGGACAAAGUGACUAAUAUCCUCAACCUGUUAGCCAUAUCCCUCAAUUCAGGACUCUAUUCUAUUAUUCGUCAAUUUAGGAGUCUAUUAAGAUUAGGGAAACCCUAAACCCUCUCCCCCAUCAGACUUCCUUAUUCUUCCCCUUUUCCUAAAUAAAUCCCCUUGUUUAAACUAUUCAAAGAGAGAGUUAUUUAUUAGAUUUAUCAGGAAACUCACUCAUAGUUGUCUUCCAGUAUCACCAAAUGAAGAAACCAACUGAUGGGGGGACAGAGAAGGGAGGAGGAAAAGAGAGGGGAGAGAAAAGGGAGAAAGGUGGCAAACCUGAUCUCUCAAUCACCAUAACCCUUAAUUACUUAAUACACCUUAUAACAAAAUAUUAUAAGUAAUGGAAGAGUUUAUUAAUACCUUUCAUUGAAAAGAUUCUAUUAGAAAAUUAAGCACUGGCUAAUAAGCAUAAUGAAAUAUCUAAAUCACUAGAAAAUAUUAAUUUGGAUCACUAUUAAAUUUAACCCAAGUUUGCAAACAUAUCUUUUUUGUAAGUAGCAAAAGCACCUCAAAAUGACUUACAGUAUUUAGAGCUUUACAAUAAAUACAAUAUCUGUAUUUUUAAAACAGACACUACACUGUGAUUGACAUAAAUAUUUUAAAGGAAAAAAAUAAAUAUUUUAAAGGGAAAAUUUGUUGUUCCAUAUUUAAACUGUUUGUGUUGGUUAAUUUAUAAUAUUCUGUUACACUGUCAUUUUCAGCUAUUGUAUUUUUGCUAUUGGAUAUAUGUUCUGUUACACUGUUUUUAUUUGUACCUUCCUACACUUGAACUUGAAAAAAAUACCAUUAUAAAACUCCAUAAACUAGUUAGAAGAAACUUGUAUUACCUUUAGAUAAGUUGAUGUGUUUUUUGGGAAUUUUGAGAAUUUUGUAUUUCUUUGAAUGUGCAUUACUUACUGUACUAUUGUUUUAUAAAUCUCUUUGUAAAAAUCAUUUUCACUCACUUGUGGAUCAUGGCUAAUUUAAAAAAGGAAAUGGAUCUCAUUUUUACAUGAAAAUCCUCUGUAUUCUACCUCUCCUUGCCUGGCACAGUGUGCCACUGAUUGUGAACUGUAUAUUUUUGAUAUAUUUUAUUAUUUUUUCCCUUAUAUGUGCAAUACAGUAUUUGAGCUUUUCUUUUUUCUUUCUACCAUUUUUUUCACU